AACGAACGCUGGCGGCAGGCUUAACACAUGCAAGUCGAGCGCGUAGCAAUACGAGCGGCAGACGGGUGAGUAACGCGUGGGAAUCUACCUAUCACUACGGAACAACUCCGGGAAACUGGAGCUAAUACCGUAUACGUCCGUAAGGAGAAAGAUUUAUCGGUGAUGGAUGAGCCCGCGUUGGAUUAGCUAGUUGGUGGGGUAAUGGCCUACCAAGGCGACGAUCCAUAGCUGGUCUGAGAGGAUGAUCAGCCACACUGGGACUGAGACACGGCCCAGACUCCUACGGGAGGCAGCAGUGGGGAAUAUUGGACAAUGGGCGCAAGCCUGAUCCAGCCAUGCCGCGUGAGUGAUGAAGGCCCUAGGGUUGUAAAGCUCUUUCACCGGUGAAGAUAAUGACGGUAACCGGAGAAGAAGCCCCGGCUAACUUCGUG
This 431-nucleotide ribosomal RNA is filed under the name uncultured organism. Its description in RNAcentral is "bacterial SSU rRNA". It matches the Rfam family "Bacterial small subunit ribosomal RNA", at positions 29 to 507 of the family's 1533-position model. The record is from RNAcentral.